RNAcentral lists this ribosomal RNA (391 nucleotides) under uncultured bacterium. Its description in RNAcentral is "bacterial SSU rRNA". It matches the Rfam family "Bacterial small subunit ribosomal RNA", at positions 28 to 420 of the family's 1533-position model. The record is from RNAcentral.
GACGAACGCUGGCGGCGUGCUUAACACAUGCAAGUCGAGCGGUAAGGCCCUUUCGGGGGUACACGAGCGGCGAACGGGUGAGUAACACGUGGGUGACCUGCCCUCAGCUCUGGGAUAAGCCUGGGAAACCGGGUCUAAUACUGGAUAUGACUCCAUGACGCAUGUUGUGGGGUGGAAAGCCUUGUGCGGCUGAGGAUGGGCCCGCGGCCUAUCAGCUUGUUGGUGGGGUGANGGCCUACCAAGGCGACGACGGGUAGCCGGCCUGAGAGGGCGACCGGCCACACUGGGACUGAGACACGGCCCAGACUCCUACGGGAGGCAGCAAUGGGGAAUCUUGCGCAAUGGGCGAAAGCCUGACGCAGCGACGCCGCGUGAGGGAUGACGGCCUGGU